AUGGCCGCCGCAGUCUGCCACUCCCCAGCUCGCCUCUCCAUCUCCUGCUCCUACUCUUCCUCCCACUCCGCGCCUGCGCGCCCGCUGCGCGUGGCCGUGGUGGGCGGCGGCCCGGCCGGCGCGUCGGCGGCCGAGGCGCUGGCUUCUGCAGGCGCCCAGGCGUUCCUCCUGGAGCGCAGUCCCGCGGGGGCCAAGCCCUGCGGCGGCGCCAUCCCGCUCUGCAUGCUCGACGAGUUUGCCAUCCCGCUGGGGCUCGUGGACCGCCGUGUCACCCGCAUGCGCGUCCUCUCCCCCUCCAACCUCGCCGCCGACUUCGGGCGGUCGCUCCCCCCCGGCGCCCAUAUCCCCAUGCUCCGCCGCGAGGUGCUCGACUCCUUUCUCCGCACCCGCGCCGCCGACGCCGGCGCCACCCUCGUCCCGGGCCUCGUUACCUCGCUGUCCCUCCCCACGGGCCCCAGCGACCCGUACCUCGUCCACUACAUCUCGUCCGGCGACGGCCCCUCACCCACUCGGAGCGUCCUUGAGGUCGACGCCGUCGUGGGCGCGGACGGCGCGAACAGCCGGGUCGCCCGGGAGGUCGGCGCGGGCGACUACUCGACGGCCAUCGCCUUCCAGGAGCGCAUCCGGCUCCCCGACAAGGCCAUGGAGUACUACGACGACCUCGCGGAGAUGUACGUGGGCGGGGACGUGUCCCCGGACUUCUACGGCUGGGUGUUCCCCAAGUGCGACCACGUGGCCGUCGGGACCGGCACCGUGGCCGCCAAGCCGGAGAUCAAGAAGCUGCAGUCGGGCAUCCGGGCGCGGGCGGGGCCCAAGAUCGCCGGGGGGCGCGUGAUCAAGGUGGAGGCGCACCCGAUCCCGGAGCACCCGCGGCCGCGGCGCGUGGUGGGGCGCGUGGCCCUGGUCGGCGACGCGGCGGGGUACGUGACCCGGUGCUCCGGCGAGGGCAUCUACUUCGCGGCCAAGUCCGGGCGGCUGUGCGGGCAGGCGAUGGCCAAGGAGUGGCGGCUGACGGGCGCGGUGACGGAGGGCGGGAUCAGGCGCGGGUACCUGCGGCGGUGGGACGACGAGUUCCUGCUGACGUUCCGGUUCCUGGACCUGCUGCAGCGUGUGUUCUACGGCGACAACGCCGGGCGCGAGGCGCUGGUGGAGAUGUGCGCGGACGAGCACGUGCAGCGCCGGACGUUCGACUGCUACCUGCACAAGCGGAUGGCGCCCGGCGAGCCGUGGGCCGACCUCCAGCUGCUGUGGCGCACCGCCGGCAGCAUGGUGCGAUGCAGCGUCCUCGGCAAGGAGGUCCAGCGCCUCCGCCGGCUCGAGCUGCUGCAGGCUUAG
RNAcentral lists this ribosomal RNA (1335 nucleotides) under Triticum aestivum (bread wheat). Its description in RNAcentral is "partial small subunit ribosomal RNA". The record is from RNAcentral. Lineage: Eukaryota; Viridiplantae; Streptophyta; Magnoliopsida; Poales; Poaceae.